RNAcentral lists this ribosomal RNA (406 nucleotides) under uncultured bacterium. RNAcentral describes it as "partial 16S ribosomal RNA". It matches the Rfam family "Bacterial small subunit ribosomal RNA", at positions 30 to 526 of the family's 1533-position model. The record is from RNAcentral.
AUUGAACGCUGGCGGCAUGCUUUACACAUGCAAGUCGAACGAGUGGCGCACGGGUGAGUAAUACAUCGGAACCUGUCCUAUCUUGAGGGAUAACUGAACGAAAGAUUAGCUAAUACACCAUACGAUCUGCGCGGCCUAUUCCCGAUUAGGUAGUUGGUGAGGUAAAGGCUCACAAAGGCGACGAUCGGUAGCUGGUCUGAGAGGACGACCAGCCACACUGGGACUGAGACACGGCCCAGACUCCUACGGGAGGCAGCAGUGGGGAAUUUUGGACAAUGGGGGCAACCCUGAGCCAGCCAUGCCGCGUGCAGGAUGAAGGUCUUCGGAUUGUAAACUGCUUUUGUUAGGGAAGCGGUACCUGAAGAAGAAGCACCGGCUAACUCCGUGCCAGCAGCCGCGGUAAUAC